GUCACCUGUUACCUCGUGUUAAUCCUUGCGAUGAACAUCAACACGACCCGGUAGUGGAGGGGCGCUAGCUACAUGCAUCCCACACUAUACAAGAAGACACUGAGUUUCAAGAUGAGCCCUGUGCCCAAGCCGUAGUUGUUUGCAGAGGCAGAAACAAGGCUCAAGAGCUUGCCUGCAGCCAAGUGUUAGAAAUGCAUGAAGACCCACUCAGAAGCUGGUGGGAUGGCUCCAUGACAAAGCCUAAGGAUCAGAGUUCAGAUCCCCCGGACCCACUGAAAAUCUGGGCAGGGCAGGAUGCUGAGGAUUCCAUAUGGCAAAGGACUGAAGAGGGAAUGGGAUUGAGGAAGCCUGGGCCCCUGACCUCACUCAGUGUCCCUGGCUCCAGCGCCAUGCUGACUCAAAGGAGAAGUCAGAGCUGCUGUUUCUCCAAACUGCUCCAUCUCCCCAGAGCUCUUCAUAGAUCCGUUCAGUUGUUCACAGCUUGAAUAAGCGAGCGCUGUCAUGAAACAGCCUUCCAGCAGCCUCCAUCUUCACGGCCACUGCCAUGUGGCCACAGGCUGCCCCAGAUGCCUUCACGAGCUGCCCUGACUGACAUGGAGAUGGAGAGUCCGCAUCUGGUCCCCAGCAUAGAGUGGUUGAGCGUCCUGCUAA
Molecule: long non-coding RNA, 651 nt
Organism: Microtus oregoni (creeping vole)
Lineage: Eukaryota; Metazoa; Chordata; Mammalia; Rodentia; Cricetidae
Exons: 4
Source: RefSeq, a predicted model, not a curated record